RNAcentral lists this ribosomal RNA (116 nucleotides) under Methanobacteriota archaeon. Lineage: Archaea; Methanobacteriati; Methanobacteriota. RNAcentral also lists the same sequence under 1 other name. The record is from RNAcentral.
UUCUGGUGCUUCGGCGGCGGGGUCACACCCGGUCCCAUUCCGAACCCGGCAGUUAAGCCCGCUAGCGGCGAUGGUACUUGCCUUGACCGGCAGGGAGAGUAGCUAGGCGCCAGAAC